GAAAGAGACAGAGAAGAGCAGACAGAGAAGAGCAGGUGAAGAAGCGAAGAAGAGAACAUCAGGUGACCUUGCUGGGAGUUCUAUCUCCUCGCUGACCACAAAGCCCCCUGGGGAAUGUAGUUCUUCUUCUCCUCUGGGCAGGCACCCAGAACUUGAGCAUCAGCAGUCAAACCCCCAGUGCAUUACAUGAUGUUAUGAUGUGGGAUAACUGAAAAUCAUAAAACCGUGACAGUAUCAUUAUAAUGCCGACACCUCUUCAUUGAGUUUUGUGGAAUCUCAAGGGGUUUUCCAUUUUCUCACCUGUGUUGAUAUGCCUUUUUAUUGUUUGUUAUCUAGCUAAAACCACUGGCGAUCUGACACUGUGGCUAAGAAUAUUAGAAAAGAUGUCUGAGGUCUGCCUUGGUAAUGGCCGAGGUGGUUACAAUUCUGGAGAAGAGAUUUGUGACCACAGGCUAUGCUACCAAAAAUAAAUAAAUAAACCCCCAGUAAAA
Molecule: long non-coding RNA, 491 nt
Organism: Centrocercus urophasianus (Greater sage-grouse)
Lineage: Eukaryota; Metazoa; Chordata; Aves; Galliformes; Phasianidae
Exons: 2
Source: RefSeq, a predicted model, not a curated record